CACAGAAAAGACAUAUGGUCACAAUGGGACUGUAAUUACCAGGGCUGUGAGCAGAGCUCUUAUGCUUAUAUAUCAAGAUUUGAAGUGAAAUGGCUGCAUGCAGGGAUGUGUGGUAUCACACCAUCACCAAAGUUUAUUAGUGAAAAAAACCUAACUGCAUGGAAGAGUACUGCAGCUGUAGCACAUAAUAAGGAAGUGCAGGAGGUGAAACCUGUACAGGUUUUAGUCUAAUACUGCCUUUUUAACAUUACAGUGCUCCAGAUGAAUGCUGUAGUCUGGUUAUCCUAGAAGCUACACGAAGCACAACAGUUAACCAUGGUUACAUGAAGCAGGAAGAACAAAGACAGUCUUGCAAAGUCUGCCAGGAGGCAUUUACAGCUUUGUUCUGAGAAGACAAUGAUGCUAAGGUUCUGCAUAUUCCAUUACAUUUUGCUGCUGUGUGACAGAUGGCAGAAGAGGGGCGUCUGACAUGGAUGUGCACAUGGAGCAAAGGUGUGGAACAGUAUUCCUCCAUGCAGAAAAAAUGGCACCCACUGACAUUUAUCGAUGCUUGCUGAAUGACUGUGAAGACCAAACAGUGGAUGUGAGCACAGUGAGGCGGUGGUUGGUGCAUUUCAGCAGUGGCAAUGGGCUGCCAGAUGUGCCAAAAAGGCUUUUGGAUGUGACUGAGGGCUUGUAUGCUUUCAGUGCAUUUUAUUGUUGCUUUUCUUCAUUUUUGCACUGCUACAGCCUUUAAUCUAGGCACAAAUGUUCUCAUUAGAUUUGGAGAAUUACAGAGUAAUUGGCCUUUUGCCCUAAAUCUAUAAAAUAGAAAGCAAAUAUGUUUUGCAAAAUCUAAUCAGAAAAACUUGAAGGUGACCCUGGGGGAAAGCAAUCCUGAAGGCAAGGAUUUGGGUGUAAUACAUUGUCUGGAGGCAAGCGAGGACAUACUGGCACACUGCCUGUACAUAGCUGUGCAGUCAGUCCUAUAGGGAUAUGCUGUUUCAAGAAUUGCCUGGCUUGUCUCUUCAUUCUUCAUGCCAGUUUCUCCCUACCAGAAGGAACCAGAAGUCUUGCUGCGUGUGCAGAGCAUGGGGACUGAACUGUGCCAGAAGGUGAUAACAGUGGAGGAGAAAUAUGGUAGUAGCCUCCAGGUCCUGAGAGUGGACGUGAUACAAGAAAGGAAUAGCACGUCUCCCAACUUUGCUUAAAUGGACCGAACUCUGGAAUGAAAGUGUGACCUUCUGUAAUAUGAUCUUUAUGACUCUUAUUUCAUUUUAAGUUCUAGUAUCUUUAACUACUUAUGUUCUGCCAUUUCCCUUUUAUGUCUCCCAUAAGCUGUGGGAGGCCUCUUCUCUUUUACUACUGCAUUUCUCUGUACUUUUACAGGGUGAGUCAACGAGAAGCAAGUGUACAGUGAUGUCAACAAGAGAUGGUAGAAUUUAAUACUCUCUGCCAUCCUGCAAGCUAGGAAACCAGCCAGUAGUACCUUAACAGUUGGAUAACUUGCUUCAAGUCACUAUCAAAACAUCAACAUGGUCACAUCAUUACUACUUGAGAAUAACAUACAGGGAUAAACAAAAGCAAGAAUGUCUCUGUAGGGUGACAUACAGAGUGUUAGCAUUGCAAAUCUUGUUCUGUAUCUAAUCCAUCUGCUCUGGGUUCAAAGCUAACUUUUUAAAGGGAUUUCUAGCUUUUCUGAGAUAAUGCUGUGGUUUAUUUCACUACAGUUAAAUGCUCCCAGUGUAUCAUAACAGCUUACUAUCUUUGGGAAAUGGCUUACUGUAGGAAUUUAAAUGGCUCUUGACAUAUUACAAACAGCUGUUUUUAUAAAAACAACUUAGUGAAGUGGACUUAGACACACUUGUAAGUAUAAAAAAUUGAUCCAGUUAUAAGAGAAGGGGAGACAUCCUUAACUCAAGCCUUAAUUACAGCUUGAUAAUCAUUGACCUUAUAAAGGCCAGCACUAAUCCUCAAAGAAGGGAAAGCAGUUGCAGCCUUGCAGGUUCCUCUACUCUGACAAUGCUACCGGGUGUGGUAACUCUGUCAACUGUUUGAGUCAUUUGUUAGUUUUUUAAUCCUUUACUUUGACCUCUACCUUGUGUGAUAUUGUGAGUGAAAGGGGGAGAGACCCACAUCUGUGCUGCACUUGGUGUUGCUGGCUUUGCAAUGUUAACCUUCCUGACUCAAUGAGGUAUUCACAUGGAGAUUUCAGAAAUGCAUAGUGCUGCUUGUAUAUAGAUCUUGACAAAUGACUUUCUCUGCCUUCAAAGUUUGUAGUUCAAGACGCUUCAUUUUUGUACCAAUUAACAUCUAAGGGACUAUUUUUGAAGUUUUUUUUUCUCUUGUUGUGUUGUAGAUACUUACCUCACCAUUGAAGAAGCAGAAUAUAGUUGCCACAAGCAAGCCCUAGGAGGAAGAAAAUGAAAAGCAUUUAAGGAUCAGAAUAUAUGCAUAGAUUUUUUUGCAUUGUUUGGAAGAUGAGGCUUGAGGCAUGCAAGACAAACUUUGAUCCACUUCCUUUCCAUCACAGACAUUUCACCUAACAUCCUCCUAAUUCUCAGUUAUAUUUUUACACCAGUUUUUGUCCUUUCAAUGUAUUUUCUUCCAGAUUACUGGCAUUUCUAGAUGAUCUGUUCUGCCUAUAAACUUAUUUUUGUUUGAGAGGCCAGGAGGAGGAUAACUAAGUGAUACUGGCUUUCUGAAGUGAAGGCAAAGGAACUGCCCCACAUGCUGCUGUGCCUUUGUCAGAGUGAAGUUACCCAGUUAAGACUGUCACACAAGGGAAGCCCAGCUGUGCCAGAAAGGCUUUCAGUUGAAGUGUAUGAUGGGAUAAGUGGACCUGCAUGUGCAGCAUCAGUAUGGAUGGGAAGGUGUGAAAACAAAUAUUAGAGGUCAGAAAAAGGGAAAACAAACCAACACAAAACACAGGUGAAAUAGAAGAUAUUUCCUUACCUCCACAGGAUUAAACAGGGUCAAGCCAACAACAUGAGAUGAGGAAGUGUGAAACAGUUGCAGUGUGUAAUUGCAAAUGCCUUCAAAUGUGAAGACAGAGGAGGUGGAAGGGCAAUCAGAGUGAGAAAAAGAAAUCUUUUUAUGAUUUGGAAGAACAGUACCCUCUGAAAACUCCAAUUCCAGAACACAUAGUCAGCCACAAUGGGAACUGAGAUGGAUUUUGAUCUCCUCUGAGACUGGAGAAGUUCAGUGGGGCACAGAAGAUAAGGAGGAGAGAAAGAAGCUAAGUCUGCUCUCCAGGGUGAGUGUUUUAGGGGAAAUCGGGAACUGCAGUUCACCUUAAGGCAGAAAUUGAACGUGAACUACUGAUGUCAUUUUCCAUUUUAUUUCAUGGAAUCAUAGGAUGGUUUGGAAUGGAAGGGAUCUUUAGGAUCACCUAGUUCCAACCCCCUGCUAUAGGCAGGGACACCUCCCAAUAGACCAGGUUGCUCAACGCCCCAUCCAGCCUGGCCUUGAAUGCUUCCAAAUACAUGGUUUCUUGUACAGUGUUCAAAUUCUUGUUAAAUCCUACAGUUAAUCUACUUCUGUUCCCUUCACUAUUGCUUUCUCUAGACUUUGCUAGAAAAGCUAAAGAGGAAGCAGUACUGAUGCCACAUAUCUCCAGUUGCUCUUCUGGUCUGCAAUAAGCUGAGAACAGAUGUGACUGUUCACCUCUUUGAAAUCAUGGAAGUUGUACAUCUCUGUAAGAUGGAAGUUGUACAUCUCUGCUGACUGAGGAAAUUAUCUCCUUUGUCUUGUGUAUGUCUCACUGCUCUUCUUUCAACAGCAACAGCCCUCUGGGCUCUGCCAUCCAAAACGUAUCUGUACUGCUCCUGAAUCUACUUGAAAGCAAGUCAGAAACCUCUGUAACAACCACACACAGAUCUGGAGGUCCCCAGCAGACUUCUGACACUGGGGAGUAAAGGCUCCUAUGAACUGAGCCAAAUUAGGGACAUUUACCUAUCACCUUACUCAUUUCUUGCCUAUCUAUCAUAUUUAUGCUGCUCCACUACCUUCCUCUCUUUUCUGAGUUUAAGUGGAUCUGAAAUGUCCUUGUGCUCUUGAAUCUAUCUCAGGAAGAGGGAAAAGAAGUCCAACAGAACAGAAUUCUUUCUACAGAUGAUGAAUAGGACAGUGUUAAUUCACAGUUUGGGACUGAAGCUCACAUUUCAAGAACAGCUUUUCUAAAAUUUAUAUAUAUAUAUACACAUAUAUUCACUCUUUUCCUUUUAGAUGUUAACCCUCUAUGUAAGAAAAAACAUCAGAAAACACUACAACGGACCCAGUAACCAACUGUGUUCACUAAGAGUGAACUAAUAUUCCACUAAUAGUGGAAAUACACAGAUGGAAGAUCUCCAUAAUGACUUGUUGCAAGUCUCACGAGACCCCCCCUUACAGCUGUAAGGAAACCAGCAUGAGCACACACACAGAGCUAGGUCUAACACCGAGCCUGGGGCCCUUGGGCUCAUCUGCAAAGUAGGAAUUAAUGCUCAUUUUUCGUCUUUUUAUAUGUUAUAUAAGCACUUCUUGCUCUUCCCUGUGCUGAAGAAAUCUGAGGACGUGUGUUGAAAAGACAAGUGGCCAGAAUAAAAUUUAUUGUGCUUCCCUAGAUAAUUGCUUUCACUGACAUUUGCAUGAAUUUGGGCAAUUUAUAUUUGAAAUUAAACCGCACUGUUUAACAAUAGCUUUUGUGAGAUGCCAUCUGGAAUAAAGGUGGAGGUUAAUUUUUUGUUUCAGCCUCUGCUGCAUGAGUGCAUUUUGGGUCCCCAUAUCAUACGCUCAAAGGUUUCCCCUUUACCCACACAAUAAAAACCCCAACCCAAAUAAAUACUGAGAGGAAUAGAAACAGACUGUUUGCCAUGCAGGGGACUGAGGUAACCUUUCUUGAAGCUUGAUGAGGUCUCAUGACAGAUGGGAGUCUAAUGAGUCUGACGGAGAAUAAUAGAUAACUGGUAUGGCAUCUGCCCACUUACAGAUAGCAAACUAUGGGAUGUGUCAGCCUUCUGUGCAAACACAGAAAUGAUGUUCACACACAACUGGUGAACAAUAUUAGGAUAAGACCAAGAGAAAACAUGCAGCAAAGAUCUGGAAGAUUAAAUGUACAGGUAAACUGCUUGUUGCUUUUAAUUAGAGCAAAUACUAAAGUGGUUCUGUGUCUUUAUUGAAUUUUAAGCCAUGUCUCUUGGCAGUAGGAUAUUUAUCCUCACCAAAAUUGCCAUCUCACCUGUUUUUGCGAAAUACAAGUAUCACAGCUACAACACGCACCUCUGGCACUAACAGACUUUUCAUUCCCCUCAUCUCUAUCAGGCCCUUAUUAUAACAUCCAACAUAUUUUCAAUCACAGUCCACUACAUGAACAAUUGCGUCUAAUACUAUUAGUUCUGUUUCAGCUUCUUCUGAUUUCUGUGUAUUUUUUUUUUUCAUAGUUCAGUGUACUGUGCAUAUCUUCAGCGGUAAAGCUACAGAAAUACCAGCAGCAGAUAUCAACUUUGUGUCUUUGAAGCUAGGAAGGGAUGGGAUGCUGAUAACUUUAUGACGGAUACACAUAAUAUUAUCAAAUGUGAGAGGUUGGAUGUAGGUUACCAUAUUAUGUAAGGCCCAUGGGUUAAUUCUGGUAUUUCCUUGACAUAAGCCUUCCAUAUUCUCCCUAGCUGCUGCUUUUUUUUUUUUUUUCUUUUUUAGCUCAGGGUGCAAUCCCUGCUGAGGAUGAGCCCUCUAGUUCAAUUAUCUAUGUCUGCCACUGUGUGGAGUUGUAAAACUGACCUAUGACACAUUAUCUGCUGACAGAGGGUAACAGUGACUGUGGGAUUGACAGCAGAGAUGGGGACUACGUUUAUUUGGACCUUUAAGUUCCUCUAUAGUUUGCUUCUGAAAUUCAUUAUUUCUGGAAUCAUUUGAAUCCCAAAAGCACAUGGCUCUCUGACGAAUCAUGCCUAAGGGACCAUCCAGAGCCAGAAGCUCUCAGACCUUUGUGAACUUGAUUGAUCCCACAGUAAUUUUUUCUUUGUGUUUAAUACUGGUCCAAGGACAUUAAUGCUUGACAGGUAUUUGACUUAUAUUUCACUCUCCUACAGGAUGUAAUUUGCUCAGGUUAAAAACAAACAAAACCCUAUGCAGAUGUUUCAAAUUUAUGUGGGUUUCUGAUACUUGAGUUGUAUUUCUUCUAGCUUAUGGCUCCCUAAAAACAAUACCACAUAUCUAGAUGUGCUUAUUUCUGUUUUUCCUGAGCAUGUUCAUGCUUUAGUCUCCGUCCUACAUGCUUUUAUGGGAUUCGCUGUCAGUGGUAGAAGUUAAGGGCAGAGGUACAGCUAAGUGUAAUAUGAAAAAGCAGUUUCUGUUUCUCUCUGUAGGAUUUCGUCCACAUCCAUGCACUUUUGGAUCUGAAUGGAGAGAAAAUAAAGAAAAUAAGCAUGGCCAAGGUGCUUCAGUGAAGCAUUUCCCCUUUCUCAGCUCUCUCAUUUCAGAAAAGGAGCUUUGAGAAAAAUAGUAUUGUGUUCCCCAUCAUUUCCAUUUACAGCAUGCCCAUACAGCACCUCUGAGGUAAAUGACUGCCUUAUGAAGUGUUUGCUUAUGUUAGGUUAAAAAAAAAAAUGCAAAUUAAUAAAUGAAUGCAGUUUUUGCUGCCGCUGAGGUGGGGAGGUAAACAUGAAAGGACUAAAGAUGGCAAUAAAAUGAUGGAGACACCCCAUCAGCAAAAGCUCACGUUUUGCUGCUGCUUCUCUUCUGCUGCAGCUUUAAUCACUGUCAUUUCAUACAGUAAUUCUUCACACAGAAAGGGCACCUCAGAAUAUUCAGCUUUCAAAAAAGGCUUCCUCAACUCUUACAGGCUCAAAAUCUUAGAAAGUUUUGAAAAUACUAAUAAUACAAAGAAAAACAAAGAAAAAUAAAUAAAAGAAACAUUUACGUUGUCAAAAGCAGUCCUAUGGCCUCAACUUUGCACAGAAGGAGAAAACGUUUGUCUGGUUUGGUAUCACAGAGGAUACUUACGGCCUUCUAAUUGGAGAAACAAAUGAAAUGAAAAACCUUCUGUAAUGGAUUGAAAGAUCUCAGGGUUUAAGAGAUUACUUUUAAGCGGGUUAAUUUUGUCCUGCAUAAAACUGCAAUGAGCGCUAUCACUUGGAAUUCAAUAUAUGACUUGGAGGCAGGGUAGGUGUGUAUGUGUCUCAAGUCCAUGGCUGGAAACUACAGCAUAACCUGGAUAGAGAUGAGGCCCUUGUGAUCAGGACUCCCUGCCUAGCGGGGCAGGAGCUGUUGUCUGUGGGUGCUGCCUGGAAGCUGAUGAGCAGCUCCAGCAUAAUCCUACCUGAGGAGAAGGAAAACUUAGAUUGUGCCCCAUGUAAUAGAAAAAUUCUUAUUUGUCAAUGACAAGGCCAUUAUGCUAAACAGCACUGACAUUUCUCAGUAGAGGCAGACUUGCAUGUUUAGAGCUGUAGUCAGUAAGGUAUUGAGGAUAUGAGUAACCUUUAGAAUCUGCAUGUUGUCAUAGGUUCAGGGACUGUUUCUCCACCACCUCCGUGGCUAAAUGUUCUCCGACAUAGUGACAGUGUCCCAUCAGCCUCUAUAAACCCACAUACAAUGGAUAUGUUCCCACAGCAGAGGUGUGCAAAGGGCCAGCACAACUUGUACCAUGAUGUUUUAAGCUCCGAGGAGGGCUACAUCUUCCUCAUGCUUUCUGUACUAACAGGCUUUUGAAAGUCAGGUCCUGUAGGGAAAAUCUGCAGUUCACUUUUCUGGAGUACAAGUGUUUGCUUUGUGGUGCCUACUUUAGCUCUGUUUAAUUAGCUGCAGCGUGCACCUACAGCAUCCCUUCUGGGGCAUUAGUUAUUCCACUUAAAGGCUGAAAUACCUUUCUUUUAUCUGGUGUAAUCUUAGCAUGGUCUGGAGGCUGAAGAUCUGAUGCUGGUGAUGCUGACAGCAAUUAUUAAUUGCUACUUUUACAGGAUCCACGAGGGGCCAGCCGGAUGUGCUGGAAAAGAACACCCAUUCCACGCUGCAGCACAAAAGUCACUUUAUGAUUUUUAUUGCUUCUUAUAUAUCUACUCUACUAAUCUAAUAAGAGGCAUCUGGUCUGCGUGAUGAAAGACACACAUUCUGAUAAAGGUAAGGUAGGGUAAAU
This is a long non-coding RNA of Gallus gallus (chicken), 8089 nucleotides long. RefSeq lists it as uncharacterized. The transcript is spliced from 5 exons. Lineage: Eukaryota; Metazoa; Chordata; Aves; Galliformes; Phasianidae. The record is from RefSeq and is a predicted model, not a curated record.